This 2916-nucleotide ribosomal RNA is filed under the name Mesorhizobium sp. RNAcentral's name for it is "23S ribosomal RNA". It matches the Rfam family "Bacterial large subunit ribosomal RNA". Lineage: Bacteria; Pseudomonadati; Pseudomonadota; Alphaproteobacteria; Hyphomicrobiales; Phyllobacteriaceae. The record is from RNAcentral.
GUUAUAUGGUCAAGUGAAGAAGCGCAUACGGUGGAUGCCUUGGCAGUCAGAGGCGAUGAAAGACGUGGUAGCCUGCGAAAAGCUUCGGGGAGUCGGCAAACAGACUUUGAUCCGGAGAUGUCUGAAUGGGGGAACCCAGCCAUCAUAAGAUGGUUAUCUUGUACUGAAUACAUAGGUGCAAGAGGCGAACCAGGGGAACUGAAACAUCUAAGUACCCUGAGGAAAAGAAAUCAACCGAGAUUCCCUUAGUAGUGGCGAGCGAACGGGGACUAGCCCUUAAGUGGCUUUGAGAUUAGCGGAACGCUCUGGAAAGUGCGGCCAUAGUGGGUGAUAGCCCUGUACGCGAAAAUCUCUUAGUCAUGAAAUCGAGUAGGACGGAGCACGAGAAACUUUGUCUGAAUAUGGGGGGACCAUCCUCCAAGGCUAAAUACUACUGACUGACCGAUAGUGAACUAGUACCGUGAGGGAAAGGCGAAAAGAACCCCGGAGAGGGGAGUGAAAUAGAUCCUGAAACCGUAUGCGUACAAGCAGUGGGAGCCCACUUUGUUGGGUGACUGCGUACCUUUUGUAUAAUGGGUCAGCGACUUAUUUUCAGUGGCGAGCUUAACCGAAUAGGGGAGGCGUAGCGAAAGCGAGUCUUAAUAGGGCGUCUAGUCGCUGGGAAUAGACCCGAAACCGGGCGAUCUAUCCAUGGGCAGGUUGAAGGUUGGGUAACACUAACUGGAGGACCGAACCGACUACCGUUGAAAAGUUAGCGGAUGACCUGUGGAUCGGAGUGAAAGGCUAAUCAAGCUCGGAGAUAGCUGGUUCUCCUCGAAAGCUAUUUAGGUAGCGCCUCAUGUAUCACUGUAGGGGGUAGAGCACUGUUUCGGCUAGGGGGUCAUCCCGACUUACCAAACCGAUGCAAACUCCGAAUACCUACAAGUGCCGAGCAUGGGAGACACACGGCGGGUGCUAACGUCCGUCGUGAAAAGGGAAACAACCCAGACCGUCAGCUAAGGUCCCAAAGUUAUGGUUAAGUGGGAAACGAUGUGGGAAGGCUUAGACAGCUAGGAGGUUGGCUUAGAAGCAGCCACCCUUUAAAGAAAGCGUAAUAGCUCACUAGUCGAGUCGGCCUGCGCGGAAGAUGUAACGGGGCUCAAACCAUACACCGAAGCUACGGGUAUCACGUAAGUGAUGCGGUAGAGGAGCGUUCUGUAAGCCUGUGAAGGUGAGUUGAGAAGCUUGCUGGAGGUAUCAGAAGUGCGAAUGCUGACAUGAGUAACGACAAUGGGUGUGAAAAACACCCACGCCGAAAGACCAAGGUUUCCUGCGCAACGUUAAUCGACGCAGGGUUAGUCGGUCCCUAAGGCGAGGCUGAAAAGCGUAGUCGAUGGAAAACAGGUUAAUAUUCCUGUACUUCUGGUUAUUGCGAUGGAGGGACGGAGAAGGCUAGGCCAGCUUGGCGUUGGUUGUCCAAGUUUAAGGUGGUAGGCUGAGAUCUUAGGUAAAUCCGGGAUCUUAAGGCCGAGAGCUGAUGACGAGUCGUCUUUUAGACGACGAAGUGGUUGAUGCCAUGCUUCCAAGAAAAGCUUCUAAGCUUCAGGUAACCAGGAACCGUACCCCAAACCGACACAGGUGGUUGGGUAGAGAAUACCAAGGCGCUUGAGAGAACUCGGGUGAAGGAACUAGGCAAAAUGGCACCGUAACUUCGGGAGAAGGUGCGCCGGUGAGGGUGAAGGACUUGCUCCGUAAGCUCAUGCCGGUCGAAGAUACCAGGCCGCUGCGACUGUUUAUUAAAAACACAGCACUCUGCAAACACGAAAGUGGACGUAUAGGGUGUGACGCCUGCCCGGUGCCGGAAGGUUAAUUGAUGGGGUUAGCUAACGCGAAGCUCUUGAUCGAAGCCCCGGUAAACGGCGGCCGUAACUAUAACGGUCCUAAGGUAGCGAAAUUCCUUGUCGGGUAAGUUCCGACCUGCACGAAUGGCGUAACGAUGGCGGCGCUGUCUCCACCCGAGACUCAGUGAAAUUGAAAUCGCUGUGAAGAUGCAGUGUAUCCGCGGCUAGACGGAAAGACCCCGUGAACCUUUACUAUAGCUUUGCACUGGACUUUGAAUUUGCUUGUGUAGGAUAGGUGGGAGGCUUUGAAGCGUGGACGCCAGUCUGCGUGGAGCCAACCUUGAAAUACCACCCUGGCAACUUUGAGGUUCUAACUCAGGUCCGUUAUCCGGAUCGAGGACAGUGUAUGGUGGGUAGUUUGACUGGGGCGGUCUCCUCCUAAAGAGUAACGGAGGAGUACGAAGGUGCGCUCAGACCGGUCGGAAAUCGGUCGUAGAGUAUAAAGGCAAAAGCGCGCUUGACUGCGAGACAGACACGUCGAGCAGGUACGAAAGUAGGUCUUAGUGAUCCGGUGGUUCUGUAUGGAAGGGCCAUCGCUCAACGGAUAAAAGGUACUCCGGGGAUAACAGGCUGAUACCGCCCAAGAGUUCAUAUCGACGGCGGUGUUUGGCACCUCGAUGUCGGCUCAUCACAUCCUGGGGCUGAAGCCGGUCCCAAGGGUAUGGCUGUUCGCCAUUUAAAGUGGUACGCGAGCUGGGUUUAGAACGUCGUGAGACAGUUCGGUCCCUAUCUGCCGUGGACGUUUGAGAUUUGAGAGGGGCUGCUCCUAGUACGAGAGGACCGGAGUGGACGAACCUCUGGUGUUCCGGUUGUCACGCCAGUGGCAUUGCCGGGUAGCUAUGUUCGGAAUAGAUAACCGCUGAAAGCAUCUAAGCGGGAAACUAGCCUCAAGAUGAGAUCUCACUGGAACCUUGAGUUCCCUGAAGGGCCGUCGAAGACUACGACGUUGAUAGGUUGGGUGUGUAAGCGCUGUGAGGCGUUGAGCUAACCAAUACUAAUUGCCCGUGAGGCUUGACCAUAUAACACCCAAGCAAUU